This 227-nucleotide unclassified non-coding RNA is filed under the name uncultured fungus. RNAcentral's name for it is "sequence contains ITS1". The record is from RNAcentral. Lineage: Eukaryota; Fungi.
GUUUUAAAUAUAUAUAAAAGACAUCUCAAUUUUAACAAUAGUUGUCAAAUAAAAUACAAACAAAAUAGUUUGAGAUUUCUCUCUUGCUAUCUCAUUUGCAUAGAGUGCACAAGGAAUAUAAAAUGAAUGUUACGGAGUGACACAUGCAUCCAUACACCUAAAUGAAUAAAUGCCAGCACAUCCUAUUCAAAUCAAUAAUGAUCCUUCCGCAGGUUCACCUACGGAAA